RNAcentral lists this transfer RNA (122 nucleotides) under Sneathiella litorea. RNAcentral's name for it is "Sneathiella sp. DP05 tRNA-OTHER". The record is from RNAcentral. Lineage: Bacteria; Pseudomonadati; Pseudomonadota; Alphaproteobacteria; Sneathiellales; Sneathiellaceae.
GUAGUUAAAAAUGAGUAGCACUCGAUACAAAGCAUAGAGUGCAAUAAAGCUAUCCAUAGAAAUAUAGUCCACGCGGACUGAAAAUCCGCGUGUCGGUGGUUCGAAUCCGCCCCUGGGCACCA